Molecule: long non-coding RNA, 1569 nt
Organism: Homo sapiens (human)
Lineage: Eukaryota; Metazoa; Chordata; Mammalia; Primates; Hominidae
Source: Ensembl
GGCAUUUUUUAUCUUACAGCUGCACUUCUUGAUAAACUAACAGCUGCCUGGGGCUCUGGCCGUGGAGCUAUGCCAGACAAGUUAAUAGGUAAUUCAGACCCUAAUACCUGGAAGGUAUUACUCUCUGAAUGGAUCACCACAUGCCUCCCAACAAUGUGACUGAAUUCAUUCUCUUGGGGCUCACACAGAAUCCACACUUGCAGAAAAUACUCUUUAUUGUAUUUUUAUUUAUUUUUCUAUUUACCAUGCUGGCCAAUCUGUUCAUUGUCAUCACCAUCUCCUGUAGCCCCACACUUUCAUCACCCAUGUACUUCUUUCUCACUUACUUAUCCUUUAUAGAUGCCUCCUACACCUCUGUCACAACCCCCAAAAUGAUCACCGACCUGCUCUACCAGAGGAGAACUAUUUCCUUGGCUGGCUGCCUGACUCAGCUCUUUGUGGAGCACUUGCUGGGAGGCUCAGAGAUCAUCCUCCUUAUUGUCAUGGCCUAUGACCGCUACGUGGCCAUCUGCAAGCCCCUGCACUACACAACCAUUAUGCAACAAGGGAUCUGCCACCUUCUGGUGGUGAUAGCCUGGAUUGGAGGCAUCCUGCAUGCCACUGUGCAGAUUCUUUUCAUGACCGACUUGCCCUUCUGUGGUCCCCAAUGUCAUUGACCACUUUAUGUGUGAUCUCUUCCCAUUGUUGAAACUUGCCUGCAGAGACACCUACAGACUUGGGAUGCUGGUGGCAGCCAACAGUGGAGCCAUGUGCUUGCUCAUCUUUUCCCUGCUCGUCAUCUCCUACAUAGUCAUCCUGAGCUCCCUGAAAUCCUAUAGCUCUGAAGGACAGCACAAAGCCCUCUCCACCUGUGGCUCCCACUUUACUGUCGUUGUACUCUUUUUUGUGCCUUGCAUAUUCACCUACAUGCAUCCUGUGGUCACCUACUCUGUGGACAAGUUGGUGACUGUGUUCUUUGCAAUCCUCACUCCCAUGUUAAAUCCUAUAAUUUACACUGUGAGAAACACAGAGGUAAAAAAUGCCGUGAGGAGUUUGUUGAGGAAAAGAGUAACAGUUUAUGCAUAAUGGCAAGAAAGUGAUGAUAUAUAUAAACAUGGAGGAUUAUAUCUGUGGUAAAUUGUGCAAGAGAAUUCACAAAUUUUACAGAUCAUUGACAAAAACUAAACAAACAAGCAAACAAUUUAAAAAGGUCCCCAGAAACUAACAUUUAUUGAGUACUUAGUAUUGGCUAGGUCUUUUUGCUAGGUAUUUUGAUAGAUUUUAACAUACUUUACCAACAUUUUAUGUUCAUGUGCAUUGAUUCUGGAUAUGCAAUGGAAAGAACAACCAUAAAUCCCUAGCUUGAUAAUUCUAGAGUAUGUUUUUUUCUAGUCUCACUGUUACUUUGCUAAAUUCUUCAUACAUAUGUUACAUACAUGAAGUUGACUUUUGAGUAGAAUCUUGAUCUCAGAACUUUUAAAAUUUUGCUUGGCUCAUGGUAAAGCAAAAAAGAGGCUAGAAAUCCCUAGACAUGUGUAGACGGAGGGUGACAAUUGAGCGAAAGAACCACUGGUGAUUUACUUCCUUUGU